Molecule: ribosomal RNA, 486 nt
Filed under: uncultured bacterium
Lineage: Bacteria
Description: bacterial SSU rRNA
Rfam family: Bacterial small subunit ribosomal RNA
Source: RNAcentral
AGGAGACGCUGGCGGCGUGGAUUAGGCAUGCAAGUCGAACGGUAUCAUCCUUUCGGGGAUGAGAGAGUGGCGAACGGGUGAGUAACACGUAGGUUAUCUACCCUCAAGACGGGGACAACCCAGGGAAACUUGGGCUAAUACCGGAUGUGAGCAACUUUUAGUGUUUGAAAGGUGGCGUAAGCUGUCGCUUGGGGAUGAGCCUGCGUCCUAUUAGUUAGUUGGUGAGGUAACGGCUCACCUAGGCAAUGAUAGGUAGGCGGCCUUAACGGGUGGUCGCCCACACUGGGAUUGAGAUACGGCCCAGACUCCUACGGGAGGCAGCAGUCGAGAAUAGUCUACAAUGGUCGGAAGACUGAUAGUGCGACGCCGCGUGAACGAUGAAUCCCUUCGGGGUGUAAAGUUCUUUUAUAUGUGAGCAGUGCUUCUUAUAUUAACAGUAUGGGGAGAGAGAUAUUAGCAUAUGAAUAAGCAACGGCUAACUCCGUG